This 1191-nucleotide ribosomal RNA is filed under the name metagenome. Its description in RNAcentral is "bacterial SSU rRNA". It matches the Rfam family "Bacterial small subunit ribosomal RNA", at positions 328 to 1520 of the family's 1533-position model. The record is from RNAcentral.
GGUCCAGACUCCUACGGGAGGCAGCAGUGGGGAAUAUUGCGCAAUGGGGGAAACCCUGACGCAGCCACGCCGCGUGAGUGAAGAAGGCCUUCGGGUCGUAAAGCUCUGUCGGGAGAGACGAAGGGGUAAAACUCUGACGGUAUCUCGCAAGAAAGCACCGGCUAACUCUGUGCCAGCAGCCGCGGUAAUACAGAGGGUGCAAGCGUUGCUCGGAUUUACUGGGCGUAAAGCGUACGCAGACGGACCGUCAAGUCGGGAGUGAAAGCCCUGGGCUCAACCCAGGAACGGCUUUCGAUACUAGCGGUCUUGAGUUUGGGAGAGGGAAGCGGAAUUCCUGGUGUAGAGGUGAAAUUCGUAGAUAUCAGGAGGAACACCGGCGGCGAAGGCGGCUUCCUGGCCCAAUACUGACGUUCAGGUACGAAAGCGUGGGUAGCAAACAGGAUUAGAUACCCUGGUAGUCCACGCUGUAAACGAUGAGUGCUGGAUGUCGGAGGUAUUCACCCCUUCGGUAUCGAAGCUAACGCGUUAAGCACUCCGCCUGGGGAGUACGGCCGCAAGGUUGAAACUCAAAGGAAUUGACGGGGGCCCGCACAAGCGGUGGAGUAUGUGGUUUAAUUCGACCCAUGCGCAGAACCUUACCCAGCCUUGACAUCCUUGGAACCGAGUGGAAACACUUGGGUGCUCUCGCAAGAGAGAGCCAGGAGACAGGUGCUGCAUGGCUGUCGUCAGCUCGUGUCGUGAGAUGUUCGGUUAAGUCCGGCAACGAGCGCAACCCCUGUCUUCAGUUGCCAUCAUUCAGUUGGGCACUCUGGAGAGACUGCCGGCGUCAAGCCGGAGGAAGGUGGGGAUGACGUCAAGUCCUCAUGGCCUUUAUGGUUGGGGCUACACACGUACUACAAUGAUGACUACAAAGGGCAGCCAACCCGCGAGGGGGAGCAAAUCCCAAAAAAGUCAUCUCAGUUCGGAUUGCAGUCUGCAACUCGACUGCAUGAAGUCGGAAUCGCUAGUAAUCGCGGAUCAGCAUGCCGCGGUGAAUACGUUCCCGGGCCUUGUACACACCGCCCGUCACACCACGAAAGUUGGAUGGACCCGAAGUCGCUGCUCCGACCCGCAAGGGGGGAAGGCGCCAACGGUCUGUUCGAUGAUUGGGGUGAAGUCGUAACAAGGUAGCCGUAGGGGAACCUGCGGCUG